Durio zibethinus is the source of this 1017-nucleotide RNA transcript. It is a transcript of the gene named TLR4 regulator/MIR-interacting MSAP protein, with no coding region annotated. NCBI's taxonomy places the organism in Eukaryota, Viridiplantae, Streptophyta, Magnoliopsida, Malvales, Malvaceae. The record is from RefSeq and is a predicted model, not a curated record.
AAUGCUUGUAAAGGCCAGACCCCAGAUCCAGGCUCCCAACUCAAUUCAAGUCGCUCAACAAUCAAUAUAGCGUGCAAAAGGAAGAGUCGAGAACAUUUAACAAGACCGGAUAUGGCACGCUCCCUGUUCUGGCUCGUUUCCAUCUUCUCCAUUAUCUCUAUCGCCGCUUGCAUCGAUGACAACUGUGCUGCUUGCAAUGCCGUUGCGGCAGAGCUAGAGAUUCAACUCUCGAAGGAAAAACCAAGGAACCAUUUGGAUAUGAGACAUCGUUUGGACUCCAAAGGUCAACGCCAAGGAAAGGUCAUUGAUUACAGGAUGAGUGAGCUUAGAGCUGUUGAACUUUUGGAUGGGCUUUGUGAAAAAAUGCAAGAUUACACUCUUGAAAAGAUAGAUUCAUCCCAAAGAGAGUGGAUCAAAGUGGAUAACUGGGACAUCCUCACUAUUGAUAAACAAGAAGCUAAGGCAUACUCAACAGAUAUAUCCUCUUAUUGUGGAAGGUUACUGGAGGAAACUGAAGAUGAGUUGACAGAAUUGAUAAAGAAAGGAUCCAUUAAGGUAGGAGAUGUAAGCAAAGUUCUGUGCCAGGAUUUGAGCAAGCAGUGCAGCGGGUUAAGCCUGAAGUCACCUAACUAAUGCAAGUGGAACUUGGAGGCAUAUGUUGACAAUGAAGGGCGGAUUGUCCUCAAUCAUUUCUGCAAUACAUUCCCUUCGUGUAACCAGAAACCAUGAUGGCCAUUCUGAGGUUGAUGAUGAUGAUGAUGAUGAGUUAUAAAUCAUUGAAAUCACCGGGCUUCAUCUGGAGAAGAGAUUCUAUAAACAAAUUAACUCCAUGGAAAAAAGUUUCCUUCUGUUGCAGCAUUACCGAAGUAGUUUGACUGUUGAAAUGAGUCUUCUUUCUGAAACUAAAAAACAAAAUUUGGCUCUUUGGAUCAUGUGUUAAUUGCUUCGAACUUCAAUUUUUUUACUCGUGCGACUCUAGCAAAUCUCAAUCAAUCAAAUCAAAAUUUGUUGCCUUGA